Molecule: unclassified non-coding RNA, 25 nt
Filed under: Mus musculus (house mouse)
Lineage: Eukaryota; Metazoa; Chordata; Mammalia; Rodentia; Muridae
Description: oocyte_clustered_small_RNA10607
Source: RNAcentral
UGACUAAGACAACAGUGAUCAGAUA